Molecule: unclassified non-coding RNA, 391 nt
Filed under: uncultured fungus
Lineage: Eukaryota; Fungi
Description: partial contains 5.8S ribosomal RNA, internal transcribed spacer 2, and large subunit ribosomal RNA
Source: RNAcentral
AACGCAUAUUGCGCUCAAGCCCUCGGGCAAGAGCAUGUCUGCCUCAGCGUCGGAUAUACCCUCACACCCCUUCACACCACUCUAGCCUCUAGAGCGUGUGGACAAAGGGUGUGGACCUGGCCGCUCCAAGCUACAGCAUCCGUGCUCUGCUUGGACUGGCUGAAAUGGAGAGGUAGCCACAGGACCCCUCCGGUGGCGUGCUCGUCACGCUGCUUGGGGCGCCACAACUGGGUAGUAGAACAGGGCCCUCUUUUGCCUCAGGGUAGUAGAGGCCCUCUUCUUGGCUAGUUGUUGGUGUGCUGUCUUGCUGGCUUGUACCCUAAACACCAGGAACCUAUACUCAACAUAUCCCCUCGACCUGAGCUCAGGCAAGAACACCCGCUGAACUUAA